AGAUGCAAGGUAGCCGAACGUCCAGAUUUUUGUCGAAGUAUUGUCGAAAGGCAAUAUCGAGAACACUGGAGUGAUUAUGCUCACAUUAGUAGCCAAUAGUCUGUAAUAGUAAAUUUUAAAAAUCCUUUUGGUGUUACACCAUAAGGAUUGGUGAUAUAAUUGCCUGCUAGCAAAGCUAGCAGCACUGGUGGCUUCGCCACCAGGCUAUAAAAUUAUACUUAAGACGGCCGUAUUGCCCUUGGUUUCUGCUCUAAAAAGCAGAGUGAAUCGGUCUCUCAGUCAAAACACAAUGAUGUUUUACGAGGAGCACAACAAAGCGCAACAAUAAGAUUCUCCAUACUGGA
Molecule: ribosomal RNA, 344 nt
Filed under: Tetradesmus obliquus
Lineage: Eukaryota; Viridiplantae; Chlorophyta; Chlorophyceae; Sphaeropleales; Scenedesmaceae
Description: large subunit ribosomal RNA
Source: RNAcentral